Molecule: transfer RNA, 67 nt
Filed under: Aloconota currax
Lineage: Eukaryota; Metazoa; Arthropoda; Insecta; Coleoptera; Staphylinidae
Description: tRNA-Gly
Source: RNAcentral
AUUUAUAUAGUAUAAUUAAUUAUAUUUAAUUUCCAAUUAAAUGAUCUAAUUAAAUUUAGUAUAAAUA